GAGGGUAUAGCUCAAGUGGUAGCGCGCAUGCUUACCGUGCAGGAGGUUCUGGGUUCAAUCCCUAGUACCUCCU
This is a transfer RNA of Camelus ferus (Wild Bactrian camel), 73 nucleotides long. It matches the Rfam family "tRNA". Rfam says of the family: Transfer RNA (tRNA) molecules are approximately 80 nucleotides in length. Their secondary structure includes four short double-helical elements and three loops (D, anti-codon, and T loops). Lineage: Eukaryota; Metazoa; Chordata; Mammalia; Artiodactyla; Camelidae. The record is from Rfam.